RNAcentral lists this transfer RNA (73 nucleotides) under Perca flavescens (yellow perch). It matches the Rfam family "tRNA". Rfam says of the family: Transfer RNA (tRNA) molecules are approximately 80 nucleotides in length. Their secondary structure includes four short double-helical elements and three loops (D, anti-codon, and T loops). Lineage: Eukaryota; Metazoa; Chordata; Actinopteri; Perciformes; Percidae. The record is from Rfam by way of RNAcentral.
GCUGAGAUAGCUCAACUGGGAGAGUGUUAGACUGAAGAUCUAAAGGACUCUGGUUCAAACCAGGGUUUUGGCA